GUCUAGAUAGGUUCUGAAUCAGCAGCACAAGCAUCCUACCUCUAUGGAUACCCACAGGGCCGAUCUCAAUUAUUUUCUCUUGGAUUCUGCUUGCCUGAACCAAAGCCUAAAUAGGCUUGAACCAAACCUGGAUCGAAAUAGAACCCCUUUGAUGACCCUUUUAAUCUUUCUUUCUUGAUUCUUGAAGAAACCAAGAACUUUUCUUGAUCCUUCAACUAAUAAAGAAGAAUAACAAUC
Molecule: long non-coding RNA, 237 nt
Filed under: Elaeis guineensis (African oil palm)
Lineage: Eukaryota; Viridiplantae; Streptophyta; Magnoliopsida; Arecales; Arecaceae
Description: long non-coding RNA (EGUI_LNC043377)
Source: RNAcentral